This 487-nucleotide long non-coding RNA is filed under the name Homo sapiens (human). RNAcentral's name for it is "HSALNT0394613". Lineage: Eukaryota; Metazoa; Chordata; Mammalia; Primates; Hominidae. The record is from RNAcentral.
UGGGACUAGAGGCAUCCACCACCACGCCCAGAGUGAAUAACUGGAUCACAUGUUUUUGAAAGACAAUUUUAUUUGGAAAAGGAAGUCUUAGCUUUACUCCCAACUGCCCCACCAUAGUGCAAGAUUCAAAUGUUGAAGUCCUAAACCUCCAUCCCUCAGAAUGUGACCUUAUUUGGAAACUGCUCAUUGCAGAUGUAAUCAAAUUAAAGUGAAGUCAUUAGAGAGGACCCUAAUUCAACAUGACUGAUACCUUUACAAAAAGGGAAAUUUGGACACAGAGAUAGAUGGAAGACGAUGCGAAGUCACAGGGAGAAAAUGGCCAUCUGCAAGCCAAGGAGAGAAGCCUAGAACAGAUCUCUCCCUUGUAGCUCUCAGAAGGAAUCGAUCCUGCUGACAUCUUGAUGCCUCGAGGAAGGCAUAAGCAUGCUGCUGCUAUGAAAGCUGGAGGCAAGCAUGCUAUAAAUCAGGAAGAAAAUGAGGAAGCAGG